RNAcentral lists this small RNA (116 nucleotides) under Oryza sativa Japonica Group (Japanese rice). RNAcentral describes it as "sRNA Os11g0696750". Lineage: Eukaryota; Viridiplantae; Streptophyta; Magnoliopsida; Poales; Poaceae. The record is from RNAcentral.
CGUCGGCGGUGGACGCAAGGGGGAAGGAGGGCGGCACACCGGCAGCGGUAGCGGCGACGACGGCGGUGGCGACGGUGGCGCACGGCGGCACAGAAGCGGCGGCACGGGAACGGCGG